UAAUUGGUGUCUAGGAAAGCAUGAAAGGUGGUUACUUAAUUAGGACCUUACUCUCUGAGUAAGGGGAGCCUCCCACCUGCUUACCUGGCCAAUUGUUCGAUUACCUCUUAUGAAGAGCUCAAGUUGCAAAUACUAAGACCUGAUUAACCAAUAUUAAGUCAAUAGGUCUUCCACUAUAGUAGAGCUGCUAAGGUCUUUCUGAUGUUGAUUUGUCUCGGCUGGACACAGUGGGCAAGUUGCAUCGGGGGGCUGGACCUCUCUAUAGACAUGAGAUGUUGUA
RNAcentral lists this long non-coding RNA (280 nucleotides) under Phoenix dactylifera (date palm). Its description in RNAcentral is "long non-coding RNA (PDAC_LNC007621)". Lineage: Eukaryota; Viridiplantae; Streptophyta; Magnoliopsida; Arecales; Arecaceae. The record is from RNAcentral.